This 253-nucleotide ribosomal RNA is filed under the name uncultured bacterium. RNAcentral's name for it is "partial 16S ribosomal RNA". It matches the Rfam family "Bacterial small subunit ribosomal RNA", at positions 524 to 776 of the family's 1533-position model. The record is from RNAcentral.
GACGAACCGUGCGAACGUUGUUCGGAAUCACUGGGCUUAAAGGGCGCGUAGGCGGCUGAUCAAGUCCGGGGUGAAAUCCUGCAGCUUAACUGUAGAAGUGCCUUGGAUACUGAUUGGCUGGAGGGAGGUAGGGGUCUGUGGAACUUCUGGUGGAGCGGUGAAAUGCGUUGAUAUCAGAAGGAACACCAAUGGCGAAGGCAGCUUACUGGACAACAACUGACGCUGAGGCACGAAAGCGUGGGUAGCGAAAGGG